RNAcentral lists this long non-coding RNA (1995 nucleotides) under Manihot esculenta (cassava). Its description in RNAcentral is "long non-coding RNA (MESC_LNC007352)". The record is from RNAcentral. Lineage: Eukaryota; Viridiplantae; Streptophyta; Magnoliopsida; Malpighiales; Euphorbiaceae.
UUGGGUUAUGAGGUUAUUGAUAAACAAAGCUCAUGAUGUGAGAAGCAUGAUCAUGGAAUCAAAAUUUCAACCAUUUGAUUCAUGCGAGUGAGAAAGAGAUAAUGGUUAUAGUUGGCCUAGGAUUGCAGCCUCGAAAAAGAUGAAGCAAUAUAGGGUCUAAGAUCCAGCAUUGCGGUGGCCGAAACUAAUCGGAGAAAGCAAAAUCAAACCAAUUCUUGCAGACCUUUCUCUCAAUUUUCCAAUGUUGUUUUGGUAGCUCUCAACAUUGAUGCUAUAACUGGAUAUCGCCAGGGGAGGAGGAUGGUCUGCCACACGUCAGCUAAAGGUUGUGGUGGCUAAAGAAAGAAGAGGAAGAAGGGACAGAGGGAGAGGAUAAAAGAAAAACUAUGCCAGGAGGAGAUGCGCGGACUGUAAUAGGUAAUCUAAUUGGUUUAUUUUUCUCUGUAUUUAGUUCUCCUUGCAAAUCGAUAGUUUAGACUAUAAUUUAAUGUGAUUCAAGCUCUAAAGUUGGAGAAUCAUCUUCCCAGUCGUUGUAGGCUUUCAAUAUAUUAUAAUAAUGAAGUAUGAUUCGAGAGAAUAUUUGAAGUGGGUAGAAAUGUACAAAAAGAUAAGCUUCAUAGACAGAGCUGAACAUGCCUGUAUGAAUACAAUAUUAAAGUUUAAAGGCAUGGUAUCACAUUGAAUCUAGAUAUACAUAUUAAUAACCAUUUAGCACAUGGUGUCAGUUGACAGCAAUGGGUCACAGCAGCCAUUGGUCAAUGGCUCAGUAAAACAUGUUGUAAAAUGAACUCAUAAACUGAACAGCUAACAUGGGAAGGCUUUGAUUGAGUAGAUUUUCCAAGUAUGAACUAUCUAUAUAGAGAAUCGAAUAUUGCAUAAGCGAUUCAAAAGCUAGGCUCUAAAUUCUAGAAGCUCAUAUGCGUAUAUGAGAUAUAGACUUGUUUAGCAUGUUUCAUGUCUAUUUUAGAUAGUGUGAUUAUUGGGAAUUUGCUUCUGUCUUCUUCUUUUGGAAUUGUUUACUUUUAGCUCUGUUUGAGCAUUUGAGUUGGGCUUGUGAAUUGGGUACCAUUGACAGUGGAUUUCAGAGAAGUAUCCUUUGCUAACCGUGAGGUGAUGAUUUCAUAAAGCCAAAAUUUUGCUAACUUGAUCCAUUAAACAGCUGGAUUCAGACUUUUAUCAUCCUUCAUAUAGAUAUAUGAUUGAUUUUUAAUAGGCAAAAGGUUAAAAUAUGGCCUUCAACUUUUUGCCAAUCUCAAUUAAACUGAGAACGGUUUUCUCUCUAUGUCUAGGGAUUUUCUGAGAAGUUUUGUCUUAUGUCUUUCUGGAGUAAUUGGUCUUUUUACCUUUUUUGGAAGGUGCAAAGAGAACACUCCCUCCGCUCGACUAUAGAUUUACCUUUCCCUCUAUUAAUUGGAGAGGUAGAUACUGUUAGGUUUGUUUUUUACAACAACAGCCUUCUUUGUUGGAGACUUCUUUAGUUGCUAAUUGUUGUUAUCUUUCUUUUCUUUGUGUAUUAAUUCUUGUUAUUUGUAGAUUCGGAGACUCCUUAGAUUUUGGAGAUAGGUGGCGUGUAGAGGGCCAACUUUAUUUGUAUAGGUGUAGUUUUUCUCCCUUGACCCAUAUGGUGAUAGUAGUGUGGCUGAGGGUGAUCACCUCUUUUGAAAUACUCACAUUUCUCUGUGUUUGUCGACGUGAUUGCAUGUGUUAUUCUUUUAUUCUUCUACUUUGUUUGUCUUUCUCUUUGGAUGUUGUUGUUGGUUUGCAGUUUUUUCCUUUUGUUCUUCAUACAUCUUUAUAGCCUUAUGGUUGUUAAGGAGAAAACUUUUUAUUUCCCGUUUUGACUACAUUAUCGAUGAAGGUGGCUUUUCUAGAGUUAAGUUAUAUAUUUUAGAGACUUUUUGUAUUAAGUCUAAACAAAAAUCAUUUACAAACUAAAAUAAAUAAAUUGUUUUUCAGAACUCACAUGAACGAAGAGGCGUAGAUUCAAGAGGGCAA